UCCCCAAUGGAAGAGGGAGAGAGAGAUGAAGAGAGGCAGGGGGCAGCUGUUGGUGGUGUAGACAGAAACAGCAACUUGCACCAGUCGACAGUACACGAACCCUGCAAACAGAUUUCCACUCACUUUUCCACAAAAAUCUCGGAGAAAAACAAUUUUGAAAGCCGUGACAAAUGAACACAAAAUGAUCUGCUUGGAAAAAAAAAAAAAAAAAAAGAUGUCAAACAUCGUCAAGGACUCGCACUGGGACUCUUUGUCUGACUCAUUACACGCCAUACACCCAUCUCCGACUCCCAGUUUUCGGCACAAAAAACCAAUAUCUCUACACAUGUCCACCGCCUCCCAGUCUCAGCAUGCAUAAACCCCCACGUACACAAAUUUUUGUUCCGUAGCUACAGUCAGCUACAGGCUGCAGAUGGGAUUCCUGACCGAAGCUGAGUUACCACCAUGUCUGAAGAUUUUUUUGGGGGUCUGCAGGAUAUUAAUCCAGAGCAGCUUUAGGCAGGAACAGGUCAAGUCUCACAUUCAAACCUCUGCAGAGGGCAUGAGAAAAAGAAUUAAAGUGCUGCGUUGAGCUCAGAAACUAGGAAAAUGUCUGGGUCAGGCCCGAUGGGGUACUUCUAAUUAAUGUUAAUAUUUUUGCCUCAGCAAUAAUAUGUAUGAUUCAUGAAAUGUGAUCAAUGGCAUGAAGCUUUGAUGAGGAGCUCGGGUGCAUUUUACAUUCAAUUUUCAAACACAAAUGUGAACAAAACUCUCUUUGUCACACACACACACACACACACACACACACACUCCUCCUGGCUAUGAGUACCCUUGCCCCGAGUGCUCCCUUGCUGCAGUCUCCAUAGCAGGCAGGGAGACUGUCUGAGUGCUUUAUGUUUGCUGUAACACAGAGUCAUCACUGUCAGAGCCAUUGAUUUGUCAAACAACAUUGUGAUACACUAUGGAUGGAUAAUGGCCCAUCUUGUGUACAGUUGUUGCAUUUUUCUGGACAGCCAAGGAGCAUCUGUUAGGUUUUUUUCCUUCCUCCUCCUCCUCUUAAACCUCCCCCCCCCCCCCCCCCCCCCCCCCCCACUUCUGCACACACACAUCCUUGCAGUUUGAAGACAAUAAAAGAAAAGCAAUGUGUCUUGUUCAGCUACUAAA
This is a long non-coding RNA of Scophthalmus maximus (turbot), 1143 nucleotides long. RefSeq lists it as uncharacterized. NCBI's taxonomy places the organism in Eukaryota, Metazoa, Chordata, Actinopteri, Pleuronectiformes, Scophthalmidae. The transcript is spliced from 3 exons. The record is from RefSeq and is a predicted model, not a curated record.